AUACGGAGGAUCCGAGCGUUAUCCGGAUUUAUUGGGUUUAAAGGGUGCGCAGGCGGGAGAUUAAGUCGGCGGUGAAAUUUUGCAGCUCAACUGUAAAAGUGCCUUCGAAACUGGUUUCCUUGAGUGUAGAUGAAGUAGGCGGAAUUUGUGGUGUAGCGGUGAAAUGCAUAGAUAUAACGAGGAACUCCGAUUGCGCAGGCAGCUUACUAAACUACUACUGACGCUCAGGCACGAAGGCGUGGGGAUCAAACAGGAUUAGAUACCCUGGUAGUCCACGCAGUAAACGAUGAUUACUCGCUGUUUGCGAUACACAGUAAGCGGCUUAGCGAAAGCGUUAAGUAAUCCACCUGGGGAGUACGGUCGCAAGAAUGAAACUCAAAUGAAUUGACGGGG
This 393-nucleotide ribosomal RNA is filed under the name uncultured bacterium. Its description in RNAcentral is "partial 16S ribosomal RNA". It matches the Rfam family "Bacterial small subunit ribosomal RNA", at positions 523 to 918 of the family's 1533-position model. The record is from RNAcentral.